UACGAAGGGUGCAAGCGUUACUCGGAACUACUGGGCGUAAAGCGUGCGUAGGUGGUUCGUUAAGACUGUCGUGAAAGCCCCGGGCUCAACCUGGGAAUGGCGAUGGAUACUGGCGGGCUAGAGUGCGGUAGAGGAGAGUGGAAUUCCCGGUGUAGCAGUGAAAUGCGUAGAUAUCGUGAGGAACACCAGAGGCGAAGGCGGCUUCCUGGACAAUUGCUGACGCUCAGGCACGAAAGCGUGGGGAGCAAAAGGG
Molecule: ribosomal RNA, 253 nt
Filed under: uncultured bacterium
Lineage: Bacteria
Description: partial 16S ribosomal RNA
Rfam family: Bacterial small subunit ribosomal RNA
Source: RNAcentral